GAUGAACGCUAGCGGCAGGCUUAACACAUGCAAGUCGAACGGUAAUCCCGGUAGCAAUAUCGGGAACGAGUGGCGCACGGGUGCGUAACACGUAUGCAACUUACCCGCAACUGGGGCAUAGCCCGGAGAAAUCCGGAUUAACUCCCCAUAAAACAGGGGCACCACAUGGUGAUAUUUGUUAAAACUCAGGUGGUUGCGGAUAGGCAUGCGGCCCAUUAGCUAGUUGGUAAGGUAACGGCUUACCAAGGCAACGAUGGGUAGGGGGUCUGAGAGGACGAUCCCCCACACGGGUACUGAGACACGGACCCGACUCCUACGGGAGGCAGCAGUGAGGAAUAUUGGACAAUGGAGGCAACUCUGGUCCAGCCAUGCCGCGUGAAGGAUGAGGGCGCUAUGCGUUGUAAACUUCUUUUCUACGGGAAGAAAAAGUCCGAUUCGUUCGGAUACUGACGGUACUGUAGGAAUAAGCAUCGGCUAACUCCGUGCCAGCAGCCGCGGUAAUACGGAGGAUGC
This 513-nucleotide ribosomal RNA is filed under the name uncultured bacterium. Its description in RNAcentral is "bacterial SSU rRNA". It matches the Rfam family "Bacterial small subunit ribosomal RNA", at positions 28 to 535 of the family's 1533-position model. The record is from RNAcentral.